Molecule: long non-coding RNA, 853 nt
Organism: Hemicordylus capensis (graceful crag lizard)
Lineage: Eukaryota; Metazoa; Chordata; Lepidosauria; Squamata; Cordylidae
Exons: 4
Source: RefSeq, a predicted model, not a curated record
GGCGGGGCUUCCAGAGAGGCCUCCUUGAAGCUCAGGAAAGAAGCAAGUGGGCAGGCAGGCAGGCAGUGUCCAGCACCAGAGCUCUCUGCAGACCCUCUGCCCAGCCUUGCCUUAGUAAUGGAGGUGACAAAGAAGGAAGGUUUGGUUCGGAAUGAUGACGUCCUAUUAGUGUAGAAGGCCAGGGCUCUGUGGACAUCCAGGGAGUGCCAGUGUCUCUCAUCGGCAGUAGAAGGAUUAGGAAAGAAGACCUAUGAAAAGACGACACAACCUUUGGAAGGAAGGAGAUGUCCAGGAGAAGAGUGAUCUUGUCAGCAUGGAAUGCCAGGAUCCGAGGGAGCAGCAGGAUUGGAGGAAACAGAGAACAGAAUAGGAGCAAAAACUCAAUGAAUAGCCUGAGGAGUUACUCUCAUGGUGGACAAUGAAAAACCAGGCAAGAUUCUGUCAGGUGACCUUACAGGUGCUGCAUGGGGGCGGGGAGCGUGGAGCCUCUACCAAUCAGGAGAGAGAAUGAGGAAGCUUGCAAACUCCCGAUUUGGCCUUCACUCUCCAGCUGAAGCCCAUCUGUGUGAUGGACAGAGACCACCCAGAAGAACCAUUUUUAUCAAUGGAACAACUGUGCCAAUGAAUAAUUUUUUAGUUGAUAACCAAGCGUAAGAGCAGAUGUGCUUCUUUAAAAUCUAAUGAAAAACAUACAUGAUGCUAUCCUGAGUUCAAAAAAUGAAGUUUCUGGAUGACAUCUGGAGAAACCUCGGCUAUUUCUGUUUAAAAUGAUGACUAAUACCACAUUGAACUGUAUCUCAGCAAUCUAGAAAGGAUUUCCCCCCCUUCCCUUGAAAAAAAAGACACUGAGGUU